This 548-nucleotide ribosomal RNA is filed under the name uncultured bacterium. RNAcentral's name for it is "bacterial SSU rRNA". It matches the Rfam family "Bacterial small subunit ribosomal RNA", at positions 355 to 896 of the family's 1533-position model. The record is from RNAcentral.
UGGGGAAUAUUGCACAAUGGGCGCAAGCCUGAUGCAGCAAUGCCGCGUGUGUGAAGAAGGCCUGCGGGUUGUAAAGCACUUUUAUUGGGAAAGAAAAACCCGGAGAUAAUACCUCCGGCAUUGACGGUACCCAAAGAAUAAGCACCGGCUAACUCAGUGCCAGCAGCCGCGGUAAUACUGAGGGUGCGAGCGUUAAUCGGAAUUACUGGGCGUAAGGGGAGUGUAGGCGGUUACCUCAGUCGGAUGUGAAAGCCCCGGGCUUAACCUGGGAAUUGCAUUCGAUACUGGGUAACUAGAGUUUGGUAGAGGUAAGUGGAAUUCCGGGUGUAGCGGUGAAAUGCGUAGAUAUCCGGAGGAACAUCAGUGGCGAAGGCGGCUUACUGGACCAAAACUGACGCUGAGGCUCGAAAGCGUGGGUAGCAAACAGGAUUAGAUACCCUGGUAGUCCACGCCCUAAACGAUGUCAACUAGCCGUAGGAGGGCUUGUCCCUUUUGUGGCGCAGCUAACGCGAUAAGUUGACCGCCUGGGGAGUACGGCCGCAAGGUUA